RNAcentral lists this ribosomal RNA (792 nucleotides) under Listeria monocytogenes. RNAcentral describes it as "bacterial LSU rRNA". It matches the Rfam family "Bacterial large subunit ribosomal RNA", at positions 1412 to 2201 of the family's 2925-position model. The record is from RNAcentral. Lineage: Bacteria; Bacillati; Bacillota; Bacilli; Caryophanales; Listeriaceae.
UAGGCGAUGGACAACAGGUAGAGAUUCCUGUACCAGUGCUAAUUGUUUAACCGAUGGGGUGACACAGAAGGAUAGGGAUCGCACGAAUGGAAAUGUGCGUCCAAGCAGUGAGUGUGAGAAGUAGGCAAAUCCGCUUCUCGCGAAGCAUGAGCUGUGAUGGGGAAGGAAAUUAAGUACGGAAGUUCCUGAUUUCACGCUGUCAAGAAAAGCCUCUAGGAAGAGUAGUACUGCCCGUACCGCAAACCGACACAGGUAGAUGAGGAGAGAAUCCUAAGGUGAGCGAGAGAACUCUCGUUAAGGAACUCGGCAAAAUGACCCCGUAACUUCGGGAGAAGGGGUGCUCUAUUAGGGUGCAAGCCCGAGAGAGCCGCAGUGAAUAGGCCCAGGCGACUGUUUAGCAAAAACACAGGUCUCUGCAAAACCGUAAGGUGACGUAUAGGGGCUGACGCCUGCCCGGUGCUGGAAGGUUAAGAGGAGUGCUUAGCUUCGGCGAAGGUACGAAUUGAAGCCCCAGUAAACGGCGGCCGUAACUAUAACGGUCCUAAGGUAGCGAAAUUCCUUGUCGGGUAAGUUCCGACCCGCACGAAAGGCGCAACGAUCUGGGCACUGUCUCAACGAGAGACUCGGUGAAAUUAUAGUACCUGUGAAGAUGCAGGUUACCCGCGACAGGACGGAAAGACCCCGUGGAGCUUUACUGCAACCUGAUAUGGAAUGUUUGUACCGCUUGUACAGGAUAGGUAGGAGCCGAAGAGACGUGUGCGCUAGCAUACGAGGAGGCAAUGGUGGGAUACU